GAUGAACGCUAGCUACAGGCUUAACACAUGCAAGUCGAGGGGUAACGAGAGGAAAGCUUGCUUUCCUUGUCGACGACCGGCGCACGGGUGAGUAACGCGUAUCCAACCUGCCCCCAACUAGGGAAUAACCUUGCGAAAGUAAGACUAAUACCCUAUAAUUUCCUCAGAUGUCAUCUGACGAGGAAUAAAGAUUUAUCGGUUGUGGAUGGGGAUGGGUCUGAUUAGCUUGUUGGCGGGGUAACGGCCCACCAAGGCAACGAUCAGUAGGGGUUCUGAGAGGAAGGUCCCCCACAUUGGAACUGAGACACGGUCCAAACUCCUACGGGAGGCAGCAGUGAGGAAUAUUGGUCAAUGGGCGGAAGCCUGAACCAGCCAAGUAGCGUGCAGGAUGACGGCCCUAUGGGUUGUAAACUGCUUUUAUACAGGAAUAAAGUUAGCCACGUGUGGUUAUUUGUAGGUACUGUAUGAAUAAGGACCGGCUAAUUCCGUGCCAGCAGCCGCAGUAA
This 506-nucleotide ribosomal RNA is filed under the name uncultured bacterium. RNAcentral's name for it is "partial 16S ribosomal RNA". It matches the Rfam family "Bacterial small subunit ribosomal RNA", at positions 28 to 523 of the family's 1533-position model. The record is from RNAcentral.